This 253-nucleotide ribosomal RNA is filed under the name uncultured bacterium. Its description in RNAcentral is "partial 16S ribosomal RNA". It matches the Rfam family "Bacterial small subunit ribosomal RNA", at positions 524 to 776 of the family's 1533-position model. The record is from RNAcentral.
UACGUAGGUGGCAAGCGUUGUCUGGAUUUACUGGGCGUAAAGGGCGUGCAGGCGGUUUGUUAAGUGCAGGGUGAAAGCUCCCGGCUCAACUGGGAGAGGUCCUUGCAUACUGGCAAACUCGAGGGAGGCAGAGGAAAGUGGAAUUCCCGGUGUAGUGGUGAUAUGCGUAGAUAUCGGGAGGAACACCUGUGGCGAAGGCGGCUUUCUGGGCCUUACCUGACGCUGAGACGCGAAAGCGUGGGGAGCGAACCGG